AUUGAACGCUGGCGGCAGGCCUAACACAUGCAAGUCGAGCGAGAGGCGGACGGGUGAGUAAUGUAUGGGGAUCUGCCCGAUCGAGGGGGAUAACUCCUGGAAACGGUGGCUAAUAACGCUUACUAUCGGAUGCACCACUAUGGGAUUAGCUAGGAGGUGGGGUAAAGGCUCACCUAGUGGACGAUCUCUAGCUGGUCUGAGAGGAUGAUCAGCCACACGGGAACUUACACACGGCCCAGACUCCUACGGGAGGCAGCAGUGGGCAAUAUUGCGCAAUGGUCGCAAGCCUGAUGCAGCCAUGCCGCGUGUAUGAAGAAGGCCUUAGUGUUGUAAAGUACUUUCAUCGGUGAGGCGUUACCCGCAGAAGAAGCACCGGCUAACUACGUGCCAGCCGCCGCGGUAAUAC
Molecule: ribosomal RNA, 406 nt
Filed under: uncultured bacterium
Lineage: Bacteria
Description: partial 16S ribosomal RNA
Rfam family: Bacterial small subunit ribosomal RNA
Source: RNAcentral